Molecule: long non-coding RNA, 2129 nt
Organism: Salvia splendens (bonfire salvia)
Lineage: Eukaryota; Viridiplantae; Streptophyta; Magnoliopsida; Lamiales; Lamiaceae
Exons: 5
Source: RefSeq, a predicted model, not a curated record
AACUAAUUGGCCCAAUUCUUCUCUUCUUCUCCUUUAAUCUGGCCCAGCUUAAUUAAUUCCAGGCCCAAGUGAUGAAUAGUGGAAAAGGCCCAAAUACCCCCUUCACCAACCAUCGUCACUAUCUCUCUCUCAUUUCUCAAAAAUCCCCAAAUUGAAAAUGAGGAACCCUAGCCCCCUUUCUCUCCUUCCUCUCGGCGAUUUCGCACCCCGCCACCUUCAGCGCUCCUCGCCGGCGUGUGAGGAACCGGAGUCAGCCCAUUUCUAUUCCGUUCCUCUCCGCAUCGCACGACCGCUCCCACCCUCUGUCUCCUACUCGGCAAGAAGGGGUCUAAAAUUCGGAAACCUGGGGAGGUGGAGGACUCGUCGCUGUCUAACCGGCGACCCACUACCCACCAUCUCUUCCCCCUUUGAGGCAUAACCUUGUACGGGCAAUCUUGACGACGUUUCGUUCGCGGAGGGGUCACCCGUGGAGGGAAGACGUCGUAUUCUCCGUCCUUCAGCGGCAUCCCUCGGUCCACGCUGCCGUCGCCUCCAUCUUCCUCCCUUCGGCGACGCUGGACCCCUCGGCUUAGGGGUGACACGCAGACGGCGGUUCUGCCGCUGCGGAGACCCUCGUAGCAGUGCGCCGUUUAAUCAGGCAGUCGCCUCGCCGAAGCUAAGUUCCUACUAGUUAUCUUCUUUCUCUUGUCAUAGUCUAGUCCUAGUUCGCGUUUGAAAAGCAAUGUGGUUGUGCUUCUAUGUGACUGAUUCUGUGUGGAAGACACCAUUCCAUGGUUCCUUUCCUCCAGUCUCAAAAGUGCUACACUACCCUAGACAUGCAUCCUAAUGAGGCUGGGGUAUGUGCAAGGGAGGUUUACUGAUUUCUCAGAUUCUCAUGUUAUCAUAAAUCGUUUCCAUGUUUUGUUUCUAUCAUGCUCGAAUGAUGCCAUUAAACUUGAGAUUUAAGCUGAUGGGUGUUACCUUUCCCUUGUAACCCCGCUGAACUUGCUAAGCUACUCCCUUCCUUGGUCUUGACCUCUCUUGCUCCUCCGCUUGCUGCUCCGUUUAGUAACUAGUUUGUUGUGUGGUGGGGGAUGGAACUGAGGAGGAGAUUGGCAUAUUUAUGCACAGCUUGUAACUGAAAGCUGCACAAUGACUGAGGUGCACACUAGAGGUGGCACUGUGGGGGCUGAUUUCCGGACUAUAACCGGUUUGGGUAGGGAAAGCAAGGGCUGUUAUCUGCAGCUUUGCAGAGUAUUAGCUGGAGGGGAGCCUGCUGGCUGGAGUUUGCUUCUUUCGGUCCAACACUCACUCACAUUUCUGCAAGAUCACGGAGUUGCCGAGCUUGGUGCCGAACUGCCGAGCUUGGUGGCGAACUGCCGAGCUCGGUGCCGAACUGCCGUGCUUGGUGGCGAACUGCCGAACUCGGUGCCGAACUGCCGUGCUUGGUGGCUGCUCGUUUGGCUGGUGUGAGCCGUGGAGUGCAGGGAUAAAGCAACCUCUUACCUUUCUUUUUUUUUCGGGACAAGAGGCUGACUCUUCUCGGUUGCUGUCUCGUCUGUUCAGCCCAACGGGCCAUCGGAAACUGGGCCGAAACCAUGCUAGAAGAAGGGCCCGAAGCUAGUAGUUUCAUUUGUAAAGAGAUAGGGUUUCUAUUUGAAAUUCUCUCUUUUUCUUAACAUGUAAAAGUUUAUUGGUGUUUUGAUCUUUCUCUCCAGAUCACGGAGUUGCCGAGCUUGGUGCCGAACUGCCGUGCUUGGUGGCGAACUGCCGAACUCGGUGCCGAACUGCCGUGCUUGGUGGCUGCUCGUUUGGCUGGUGUGAGCCGUGGAGUGCAGGGAUAAAGCAACCUCUUACCUUUCUUUUUUUUUCGGGACAAGAGGCUGACUCUUCUCGGUUGCUGUCUCGUCUGUUCAGCCCAACGGGCCAUCGGAAACUGGGCCGAAACCAUGCUAGAAGAAGGGCCCGAAGCUAGUAGUUUCAUUUGUAAAGAGAUAGGGUUUCUAUUUGAAAUUCUCUCUUUUUCUUAACAUGUAAAAGUUUAUUGGUGUGUAUUUAAUUCCAAACACUUGAAAUUUGGUGGCUUUGAAAUUUCUGAAGUUGUACUUGUACCCUUAUUCAAGAAAUAAAAAUACUCUUUCAUUCGUCAA